Non-coding RNA from Paramuricea clavata, 563 nucleotides. Lineage: Eukaryota; Metazoa; Cnidaria; Anthozoa; Malacalcyonacea; Plexauridae. The record is from the annotation of a GenBank genome assembly.
GUUUGGGUCUAGAUCUGAGCUCUAUCUUUCGACACUUUGGUAUUGGAAAUAGAAGCCAUGUGGUUUGUUUGUUUUUAGCGCGAAUGGGCGAUAAAUGCCAAAUGUAAAACAUUUAUUAGAGGUGUUGGUUUUUGUUGCAGGGAAAUGUGAUAGGAAUUAGACAGGAAUGAUAUUUGUGUGUGUUGAUCAUGUUUAGCGUUUGUUAGUUUGUUGUUGGUGGUGAUGAUGGUUAUGGACUUAUGGUGAUGAUGGUGAUGGCCGUGUUUGGUGGUGGUGAUGAUGGUGGCUGGUGGUGAUUGGCAGUGGCGGUGAUGAUGUCGUCAUGGUGGUGGUGAUGGUUGUGCUGGUGGUGGUGGUUACUGUGGUGGUUGUCACUUGUAGUGAUGGUGGCGACUGGUGAUGAUGAUGGUGGCUGUGGUGAUGGUGGUGGCUGUGGUGAUGGCAGUGCUGGUGAUGGUAGCUAUGGUGGUGGUUAUGGUGGCUGUGGUGAUGACGAUGGUGGUGAUGAUGACGAUGAUGAUAAUUGUGUUGAUGAUGAUGAUGAUGGUGGAAAUAAUGAUGAU